RNAcentral lists this long non-coding RNA (222 nucleotides) under Zea mays. RNAcentral describes it as "long non-coding RNA NONZMAT002542". The record is from RNAcentral. Lineage: Eukaryota; Viridiplantae; Streptophyta; Magnoliopsida; Poales; Poaceae.
GCCUCCACAAGUGUCCUCCAAAACCCUAGCCAGAGGAGGUCCAGGGGUGCCACGUCUGCAUACGUUCCCAGCCUCUGCUCUCUGCUCAGGCAGAGAUCCGGUGCUGGCACGUGGCAUGUGGCGCAUGGCGAAAGCCGCCAGGCAUGGCCCGACGCGUGCCACAAGCGUAGGGGCCAUCCACAUUAAAUGCGGGCAAGAUGCGCGCCUAUUCACACAAGUGAC